This 464-nucleotide ribosomal RNA is filed under the name uncultured bacterium. Its description in RNAcentral is "partial 16S ribosomal RNA". It matches the Rfam family "Bacterial small subunit ribosomal RNA", at positions 339 to 795 of the family's 1533-position model. The record is from RNAcentral.
CUACGGGCCGCAGCAGUGGGGAAUAUUGCACAAUGGGCGCAAGCCUGAUGCAGCCAUGCCGCGUGUAUGAAGAAGGCCUUCGGGUUGUAAAGUACUUUCAGCGGGGAGGAAGGGAGAAAAGUUAAUACCUUUGCUCAUUGACGUUACCCGCAGAAGAAGCACCGGCUAACUCCGUGCCAGCAGCCGCGGUAAUACGGAGGGUGCAAGCGUUCAUCGGAAUUACUGGGCGUAAAGCGCGCGCAGGCGGUUUGUUAAGUCAGAUGUGAAAUCCCCGGGCUCAACCUGGGAACUGCAUCUGAUACUGGCAAGCUGGAGUCUCGUAGAGGGGGGUAGAAUUCCAGGUGUAGCGGUGAAAUGCGUAGAGAUCUGGAGGAAUACCGGUGGCGAAGGCGGCCCCCUGGACGAAGACUGACGCUCAGGUGCGAAAGCGUGGGGAGCAAACAGGAUUAGAUACCCCGGUAGUC